Molecule: ribosomal RNA, 253 nt
Filed under: uncultured bacterium
Lineage: Bacteria
Description: partial 16S ribosomal RNA
Rfam family: Bacterial small subunit ribosomal RNA
Source: RNAcentral
UACAGAGGGUGCGAGCGUUAAUCGGAAUUACUGGGCGUAAAGCGUGCGUAGACGGCUAUCUAAGUCGGGUGUGAAAGCCCCGGGCUCAACCUGGGAAUUGCAUUCGAGACUGAAUAGCUAGGGUACGGUAGAGGGAAGUGGAAUUUCCGGUGUAGCGGUGAAAUGCGUAGAUAUCGGAAGGAACACCAGUGGCGAAAGCGGCUUCCUGGUCCAGCACCGACGUUCAGGCACGAAAGCGUGGGGAGCAAACAGG